CCAGUGCUCUGGCCACACGCUGGAACAGCCAAGAGAGAUGAGAGAUGGAGCAAAGCCACAGGGUGUAAACGUAGGCUUGAAUAAGGAGUCCAGUCAAAGAGCCGGAGGGACUCCCCUUCAUUGAGUUCCUCACUGUCGACACACACAGAGAGCGGGAAGGAGUGACCACACAUCCAGAGCCUGCUGUGGAGGAGACACAGCGACAGGCCUAUUCAAUACUUAUCUCGUUUAAUCUGCAUGCCAAUGUCAAAGCUUGAGGAGAUUAUGUGAAUUUGGGAAGGACACAUAGCAGAGCCAGGAUUCAAUUCAGAUCUGCUUGACUCCAAGGCCAUUCCAGAAAUCUCCCUUUCUUUAGGCCUUCUGACAUGAGAGUUGGGUUCUUUCUGCCAAGAUUUCCAUCUCUGACGAUCAUUUAAAUGAAUACAAGAGUGCAGGUGGGCUCUAAUCCAAUACGACUAAUGUCCUUAUGAGACGAGGAAAUUAACACAUGGAAAAGCACAGAAGGAAGACCACGUGAGGACACCAGGAGAAGAAGGCCACCUACAAGCCAAGGAGAGAGGCCUCAGAAGAAAGCAACCACACUGGCACCUUGAUCUCAGACUUCUAACCUCCAGAUUUGCAAGAAGAGCUGAUGGAGGUUUCUGAGCUAGAAAGGGCUUUGUCCAGAAUUGGGCUUUAAGCAAAUUAUUUUGUCAGUUGAAUACUGGAAAAUUUGGAGCCAAGGAGACCAUAAAAAGGAGACCAGGAUGACGCUGCGUCACCAGUUCAGGAUGUUCAGGUUGGCGGCAACAGUCCCCACCCUGUGCCAAAGGAAGGUUUCCAUCACUUCGAAUGGGAAGACACACUUGCGACCCCACUGUGCAGCCCUUGUGUGAUGAGAACUAUAUAAUGUUAUACCUCCUGUGCAAUUCCACGAAACAACCCCACUCUUCACCUACUCCUUGCAGCAGCGGCUGUGGUGUUGCUGUCUAAUUAUGCACAGUGUUGUGUGGGUGAUUUUCCUGAGUUGGACAGGACAGCUCCUCAAAGAAUUUUAUAUGUGUGUGUGUGUGUGUGUGUGUGUGUGUGUGUGUGUGUGUUCAGCCUUCCUCAGACCACCAAAAUAAAUCCUGUGCUUUCUUGCUCAAUUCUUACCUUUUUUGGUUCUAAUUGGAGAGUCAGGAAAGCAGUCUUUGGGUGGCGAGAGAAGGGGGAGGAGGACGAUAUCUGUGCCGGGCCUGGCGAUGGUGGGCCAGGUGUGGCUAAGAGUGGAAAGAAAGUUUCUCAAAAAAAAGUCAUUCUAAACUAUGUAUUUGGAUCCCGUUCAUGCUUUUUGAGAAAUGCAGGUAAAUAAUUUUUUAUUAUUUUUGGUUGUUAUAUUGUCUAUUUUGGCUAUGAUACUCCCCACAAAUAAACUAUGAAGACCCCUUACAAUAAAGAUUAUAUUUUAAUAAAAAGUAAA
Molecule: long non-coding RNA, 1441 nt
Filed under: Equus caballus (horse)
Lineage: Eukaryota; Metazoa; Chordata; Mammalia; Perissodactyla; Equidae
Description: lncRNA (ENSECAG00000048039.1)
Source: RNAcentral